Molecule: ribosomal RNA, 253 nt
Filed under: uncultured bacterium
Lineage: Bacteria
Description: partial 16S ribosomal RNA
Rfam family: Bacterial small subunit ribosomal RNA
Source: RNAcentral
UACAGAGGUCUCAAGCGUUGUUCGGAUUCAUUGGGCGUAAAGGGUGCGUAGGUGGCGAGGUAAGUUGGAUGUGAAAUCCCGGGGCUCAACCCCGGAACUGCAUUCAAUACUGCCUUGCUAGAGUACUGGAGAGGAGAUUGGAAUUUACGGUGUAGCAGUGAAAUGCGUAGAUAUCGUGAGGAACACCAGAGGCGAAGGCGGUUUCCUGGACAGUUACUGACGCUCAGGCACGAAAGCAUGGGGAGCAAAAGGG